CAUCGCCCCCUGUAAACCAAAAUAAAAUAAGGGGUACUGCCUGCCCAGUGAUNUAAAAAUUUAACGGCCGCGGUAUCUUGACCGUGCAAAGGUAGCAUAAUAAUUUGCUCUUUAAUUGAGGGCUAGUAUGAAAGGCAAAACGAAGGCUUAACUGUCUCCCUAUUAAAAAAAGAAAUUAAUAUUUUAGUGAAGAAGCUAAAAUAAAAUUGCAAGACGAGAAGACCCUGUCGAGCUUAAGAAAAUUUUUAUUUAUAAAUAAAAACGAAAGCUAAUUAAAUUAAAAAUACUUCUAUAAAAAAUAAUAAAAAUAUCUUUGGUUGGGGCAACCACGAAGAAAAAAAAACCUUCGAAUUUUUAUAAAAAAUAAACAAAUUUAAAAACUUUUUAAGCUUAAAAGAUCCGGUAUAUACCGAUUAAAGGAAAAAGUUACCGCAGGGAUAACAGCGUUAUUUUCUUUGAGAGCUCUUAUUGACAAGAAAGUUUGCGACCUCGAUGUUGGACCGGGGCACCCAARAGAUGCAGAAGUCUCUAAAGGUAGGUCUGUUCGACCUUUAAAGCCCUACGUGA
RNAcentral lists this ribosomal RNA (567 nucleotides) under Comaster audax. Its description in RNAcentral is "partial 16S ribosomal RNA". It matches the Rfam family "Bacterial large subunit ribosomal RNA", at positions 1814 to 2603 of the family's 2925-position model. Lineage: Eukaryota; Metazoa; Echinodermata; Crinoidea; Comatulida; Comatulidae. The record is from RNAcentral.